Molecule: ribosomal RNA, 252 nt
Filed under: uncultured bacterium
Lineage: Bacteria
Description: partial 16S ribosomal RNA
Rfam family: Bacterial small subunit ribosomal RNA
Source: RNAcentral
UACGUAGGUCCCGGGCGUUGUCCGGAUUUAUUGGGCGUAAAGCGAGCGCAGGUGGUUUAUUAAGUCUGGUGUAAAAGGCAGUGGCUCAACCAUUGUAUGCAUUGGAAACUGGUAGACUUGAGUGCAGGAGAGGAGAGUGGAAUUCCAUGUGUAGCGGUGAAAUGCGUAGAUAUAUGGAGGAACACCGGUGGCGAAAGCGGCUCUCUGGCCUGUAACUAACACUGAGGCUCGAAAGCGUGGGGAGCAAACAGG